UCCUACGGGAGAAAGCAGGGGACCUUCGGGCCUUGCGCUAAUAGAUGAGCCUAAGUCGGAUUAGCUAGUUGGUGGGGUAAAGGCCUACCAAGGCGACGAUCUGUAGCGGGUCUGAGAGGAUGAUCCGCCACACUGGGACUGAGACACGGCCCAGACUCCUACGGGAGGCAGCAGUGGGGAAUAUUGGACAAUGGGGGGAACCCUGAUCCAGCCAUGCCGCGUGUGUGAAGAAGGCCUUUUGGUUGUAAAGCACUUUAAGCGAGGAGGAGGCUACCGAGAUUAAUACUCUUGGAUAGUGGACGUUACUCGCAGAAUAAGCACCGGCUAACUCUGUGCCAGCAGCCGCGGUAAUACAGAGGGUGCAAGCGUUAAUCGGAUUUACUGGGCGUAAAGCGCGCGUAGGUGGCCAAUUAAGUCAAAUGUGAAAUCCCCGAGCUUAACUUGGGAAUUGCAUUCGAUACUGGUUGGCUAGAGUAUGGGAGAGGAUGGUAGAAUUCCAGGUGUAGCGGUGAAAUGCGUAGAGAUCUGGAGGAAUACCGAUGGCGAAGGCAGCCAUCUGGCCUAAUACUGACACUGAGGUGCGAAAGCAUGGGGAGCAAACAGGAUUAGAUACCCUGGUAGUCCAUGCCGUAAACGAUGUCUACUAGCCGUUGGGGCCUUUGAGGCUUUAGUGGCGCANCUAACGCGAUAAGUAGACCGCCUGGGGAGUACGGUCGCAAGACUAAAACUCAAAUGAAUUGACGGGGGCCCGCACAAGCGGUGGAGCAUGUGGUUUAAUUCGAUGCAACGCGAAGAACCUUACCUGGUCUUGACAUAGUAAGAACUUUCCAGANAUGGAUU
Molecule: ribosomal RNA, 840 nt
Filed under: uncultured anaerobic bacterium
Lineage: Bacteria
Description: bacterial SSU rRNA
Rfam family: Bacterial small subunit ribosomal RNA
Source: RNAcentral